Molecule: unclassified non-coding RNA, 253 nt
Filed under: uncultured Chlamydiales bacterium
Lineage: Bacteria; Pseudomonadati; Chlamydiota; Chlamydiia; Chlamydiales
Description: contains 16S-23S intergenic spacer region
Rfam family: Bacterial small subunit ribosomal RNA
Source: RNAcentral
UACGGAGGGUGCAAGCAUUAAUCGGAAUUAUUGGGCGUAAAGGGCGCGUAGGCGGAAUUGUAAGUCAGAUGUGAAAUAUCGAGGCUCAACCUCGAUGCUGCAUUUGAAACUACAAAUCUUGAGGAUAGACGGAGAAAACGGAAUUCCACGUGUAGCGGUGAAAUGCGUGGAUAUGUGGAAGAACACCUGUGGCGAAAGCGGUUUUCUAGUUUAUUCCUGACGCUGAGGCGCGAGAGCAAGGGGAGCAAACAGG